UCCAUCCCUGGAGAGGCUUCAACCUCACCCUGCUGCUCUGGUGUCCCCCCAGCCCGGCUGAAGGAGGUGGUGAAGGUGCUGGAAAAGCUCAACAGGAGCGGGAGGUGGAAGUGGCUCCUUCACUACAGGGAGAGCAAGAAGCUCAGAGGAGACCUCAGCAGGGUGGCCCCCGAUGCCCACGGGAAGCAGCUGCUCCUGAAGUGGUGCCAGGAGGAGGGGCUGGUGGAGGUGCUGCCCUUCCACGGCUGCGACUCCCCCGGCGCCCCCGAGAAGCAGCUCCUGAGGUGCCUCCUGGGGCUCCAGGUCCAGCACAUCCAGGCCAGGCUGGGAGUGUUCCUGACCCAAAACCCCGGAGCGAGGAGGGAGGUCCUGGAGAGCAAAGGGAUCCUGGUGGCCGACGUGAGCUCCUUCCUGGGCUCCCUGCAGGGCGUGGCCACUCCUUUCCGGAGGAGCUACUGGUGACAAAGCCGAGCCAGGACACGGCUCCUCCCCACGGUGGCACCAGUUGGGGCAUCCCAGCCCUUCCGGGACACCCCAUCCCGGCGGAUGCUCCGGGUGGCGCGGGAAGGGCCGUCUGAGUCCGCACAGAAAACCUGACUGGGAGGUGGCCAAUCCAACCCCCCCUCCCCGGGGGUUUUAUUCCCUGUUCCAG
This is a long non-coding RNA of Corapipo altera (White-ruffed manakin), 652 nucleotides long. RefSeq lists it as uncharacterized. The transcript has 4 exons. Lineage: Eukaryota; Metazoa; Chordata; Aves; Passeriformes; Pipridae. The record is from RefSeq and is a predicted model, not a curated record.